Molecule: ribosomal RNA, 492 nt
Filed under: uncultured bacterium
Lineage: Bacteria
Description: partial 16S ribosomal RNA
Rfam family: Bacterial small subunit ribosomal RNA
Source: RNAcentral
AGUGAACGCUGGCGGUAGGCCUAACACAUGCAAGUCGAACGGCAGCACAGUAAGAGCUUGCUCUUACGGGUGGCGAGUGGCGGACGUGUGAGGAAUACAUCGGAAUCUACUUUUUCGUGGGUGAUAACGUAGGGAAACUUACUCUAAUACCGCAUACUACCUACGGGUGAAAGCAUUGGAUCUUCGGACCUUUCGCGAUUGAAUGAGCCGAUGUCGGAUUAGCUAGUUGGCGGGGUAAAGGCCCACCAAGGCGACGAUCCGUAGCUGGUCUGAGAGGAUGAUCAGCCACACUGGAACUGAGACACGGUCCAGACUACUACGGGAGGCAGCAGUGGGGAAUAUUGGACAAUGGGCGCAAGCCUGAUACAGCAAUACCGCGUGGGUGAAGAAGGACUUCGGGUUGUAAAGCCCUUUUGUUGGGAAAGAAAAGAAGCAGGUUAAUACCCCGCUGUUAUGACGGUACCAAAAGAAUAAGCACCGGCUAACUUCGUG